Molecule: non-coding RNA, 420 nt
Organism: Pristis pectinata (smalltooth sawfish)
Lineage: Eukaryota; Metazoa; Chordata; Chondrichthyes; Rhinopristiformes; Pristidae
Source: the annotation of a RefSeq genome assembly
AUGAUCACUGCGGUUCGUCUUGUCACCCAGGCCCCGAAUACUGAGCUCUCAUUGGUUAUUCGCCACCGGAAGCGCUGGUGCCAGAUGUCAGAUACGACCUCGGUGACCAUCCACCAGAUCCCGGCAUUCUCCGUUUCUCGCCGAGAGGAGGUGUCACUGGAAUGUACCGUCGAGGGCAGCAGUGCCAUUACUAAUUACAUGUACUGGUACAGACAGUACCCGGGAGAGGGACUGGAGAACCUGUUUUACUCUCCACGAGCCAAAAGCGUGGAACCAAACAAGGCGGUGGACGGUUUUAACGCAGAGAGACCCAGUAGCGACGUCUUCAAGCUGAUGUCCUCCGGUCUCGAGGUGAAUUCGUCGGCCGUGUAUUUCUGCGCAUGGAGUGAUCACAGCGACUCAGGCGGACGGAGGAGCUGA